Molecule: ribosomal RNA, 446 nt
Filed under: uncultured bacterium
Lineage: Bacteria
Description: partial 16S ribosomal RNA
Rfam family: Bacterial small subunit ribosomal RNA
Source: RNAcentral
CCUACGGGUGGCAGCAGUCGAGAAUCAUUCACAAUGGGGGAAACCCUGAUGGUGCGACGCCGCGUGGGGGAAUGAAGGUCUUCGGAUUGUAAACCCCUGUCAUGUGGGAGCAAAUUAAAAAGAUAGUACCACAAGAGGAAGAGACGGCUAACUCUGUGCCAGCAGUCGCGGUAAUACAGAGGUGUCAAGCGUUGUUCGGAAUCACUGGGCGUAAAGCGUGCGUAGGCUGUUUCGUAAGUCGUGUGUGAAAGGCGCGGGCUCAACCCGCGGACGGCACAUGAUACUGCGAGACUAGAGUAGUGGAGGGGGAACCGGAAUUCUCGGUGUAGCAGUGAAAUGCGUAGAUAUCGAGAGGAACACUCGUGGCGAAGGCGGGUUCCUGGACAUUAACUGACGCUGAGGCACGAAGGCCAGGGGAGCGAAAGGGAUUAGAUACCCGUGUAGUC